GACGAACGCUGGCGGCGUGCCUAAUACAUGCAAGUCGAACGAAGUUAUGAAGGAGCUUGCUCCGGAAUAACUUAGUGGCGGACGGGUGAGUAACACGUGGGCAACCUGCCUGCAAGCUGGGGAUAACUAGCGGAAACGUUAGCUAAUACCGAAUGGUCAGGGAGAGGGCAUCCUUUCCUUGGGAAAGACGGAGCAAUCUGUCGCUUGCAGAUGGGCCUGCGGUGCAUUAGCUAGUUGGUGGGGUAAUGGCUCACCAAGGCGACGAUGCAUAGCCGACCUGAGAGGGUGAACGGCCACACUGGGACUGAGACACGGCCCAGACUCCUACGGGAGGCAGCAGUAGGGAAUCUUCGGCAAUGGACGAAAGUCUGACCGAGCAACGCCGCGUGAGUGAUGAAGGUUUUCGGAUCGUAAAGCUCUGUUGCCAGGGAAGAACGCUUGGGAGAGUAACUGCUCCUAAGGUGACGGUACCUGAGAAGAAAGCCCCGGCUAACUACGUGC
This 501-nucleotide ribosomal RNA is filed under the name uncultured bacterium. RNAcentral's name for it is "bacterial SSU rRNA". It matches the Rfam family "Bacterial small subunit ribosomal RNA", at positions 28 to 508 of the family's 1533-position model. The record is from RNAcentral.